This 445-nucleotide ribosomal RNA is filed under the name uncultured bacterium. RNAcentral's name for it is "bacterial SSU rRNA". It matches the Rfam family "Bacterial small subunit ribosomal RNA", at positions 354 to 796 of the family's 1533-position model. The record is from RNAcentral.
GUGAGGAAUAUUGCGCAAUGGAGGCAACUCUGACGCAGCCAUGCCGCGUGCAGGAAGAAGGCGCUACGCGUUGUAAACUGCUUUUAACCGGGAAGAAACCCCAGGACGUGUCCUGGGUUGACGGUACCGGAGGAAUAAGCACCGGCUAACUUCGUGCCAGCAGCCGCGGUAAUACGAAGGGUGCAAGCGUUAUCCGGAAUCAUUGGGUUUAAAGGGUGCGUAGGCGGAGCGUUAAGUCAGUGGUGAAAUCCUGCAGCUUAACUGUAGACUUGCCAUUGAUACUGGCGCUCUUGCGUGCGCUUGAAGUGGGCGGAAUGUGCCGUGUAGCGGUGAAAUGCUUAGAUAUGGCACAGAACACCAAUUGCGAAGGCAGCUCACUAAGGCGAUACUGACGCUGAGGCACGAAAGCGUGGGGAUCGAACAGGAUUAGAAACCCGAGUAGUCC